CCCAUUGUGGCUCAGUGGUAAAGACUCUGCCUGCAAUGCAGGAGACCCAGGUUUGAUCCCUGGGUGGGG
RNAcentral lists this transfer RNA (69 nucleotides) under Ovis aries (sheep). It matches the Rfam family "tRNA". Rfam says of the family: Transfer RNA (tRNA) molecules are approximately 80 nucleotides in length. Their secondary structure includes four short double-helical elements and three loops (D, anti-codon, and T loops). Further hydrogen bonds mediate the characteristic L-shaped molecular structure. tRNAs have two regions of fundamental functional importance: the anti-codon, which is responsible for specific mRNA codon recognition, and the 3' end, to which the tRNAs corresponding amino acid is attached (by aminoacyl-tRNA synthetases). tRNAs cope with the degeneracy of the genetic code in two manners: having more than one tRNA (with a specific anti-codon) for a particular amino acid; and 'wobble' base-pairing, i.e. permitting non-standard base-pairing at the 3rd anti-codon position. The record is from Rfam by way of RNAcentral. Lineage: Eukaryota; Metazoa; Chordata; Mammalia; Artiodactyla; Bovidae.